RNAcentral lists this ribosomal RNA (363 nucleotides) under uncultured bacterium. Its description in RNAcentral is "bacterial SSU rRNA". It matches the Rfam family "Bacterial small subunit ribosomal RNA", at positions 28 to 390 of the family's 1533-position model. The record is from RNAcentral.
GACGAACGCUGGCGGCGUGCUUAACACAUGCAAGUCGAGCGGUAAGGCCCUUUCGGGGGUACGACGAGCGGCGAACGGGUGAGUAACACGUGGGUGACCUGCCUCUAGCUCUGGGAUAAGCCCGGGAAACUGGGUCUAAUACUGGAUAUGACUCCAUGACGCAUGUUGUGGGGUGGAAAGCCUUGUGCGGCUAGAGAUGGGCCCGCGGCCUAUCAGCUUGUUGGUGGGGNGAUGGCCUACCAAGGCGACGACGGGUAGCCGGCCUGAGAGGGCGACCGGCCACACUGGGACGUGAGACACGGCCCAGACUCCUACGGGAGGCAGCAGUGGGGAAUCUUGCGCAAUGGGCGAAAGCCUGACGCA